Molecule: long non-coding RNA, 25562 nt
Filed under: Gossypium barbadense (sea-island cotton)
Lineage: Eukaryota; Viridiplantae; Streptophyta; Magnoliopsida; Malvales; Malvaceae
Description: long non-coding RNA (GBAR_LNC023177)
Source: RNAcentral
AAUCCAUUUUGGAAUACUACCUGUCAAAUUGUUUCCUCUAAGAUCUAAAGUCACUAUUGAAGAGUUAUUAUAAAAAGCAAGUGAUAGUGUGCCUCUCAGUCUAUUCCCGUGGAGGUGGACAUGCUCUAUGUAUGGUGGAUUAAAAUAUGACGGUAUAGAGCCAGAUAAAUUAUUUUGAGAAAGAUCCAAAAAUUCCAACCUGUUCAACUUUCAAAAUUCCAUUGGAAUAGAACCUUCAAAACCAUUGUUGGACAAAUUUAAUCUCCACAAAAAUGAUGCAUUCCCUAUCCAUAUUGGGAGCUUUCCAUGCAACUUGUUACUGUGAUCAAUUUCGCUUAGUGAAUUUGGAAACUCAAAAAGAAAUGUUCACACAAAGUUUUUUCCAACAUAUGUCUGUCAUUUGUGGGGUCUUGAAUUUAACAUCAAUGGUUGAAUUUUCAUAGCUAAUAUGUACGCAAAAGGCUUAGUUGGUGGAAUUUUAUGUCAGGAAAGCGUUUCUACAAUGACAUAAUUAAUUGCAUUACUUUUCAAAGAUUGACUAUUGACUUUGGUGAGCUUAUUAGGUUAAAUUCUGCUGUUGGUCACUGUUCUUUGUGAAAGUUGUAAAUUUAGUCUAUUUACUUCAAUUUGAUCAAUUUUAAUCCCUAUACAUUUUGAAUUUUAAAAUUUUAGUUGUGACCCAAACAAUAAAGUUAAAUCAAUUUAAUUAAAACCAAUUACUAGUCUUAUAUUAUGCGUACAAUUGUUGAUUUAGUCCAUACUCUCCAAUUGGAUUAUUAUAAGUACCUAUAUUUUUCAAAUUUUGAAAUUUCAGUUUUGAUGCAAAUGACAAUUCUUAGUCCGUUAACUAGAUUUUUAGUAACAUAUGGAAAUAAUAAGAUGAUAUGACAUUACACAUAUGAUAAUAUAUUUGCGUUAAAUAUAUAAACAAUGACAUAAUUAAUUGCAUUAACUUUUAGACGCUGACUAUUGACUUUUGCGUCAACCUUGAGCUUAUAUAGCCCCUACAAUAAUUUAGGUUAUGGAAAUAAUCUUACAAUUAAUGCCUGAGAAAUUAUUAUAGAUCAAUUUAUAGUUUUAAUCCCUAUAAUUACUCAAUUGAAUUAAAGAUUCUGAUUUUCUUAUUUAAUUUGAUAUAUUUUGUUCUCUUAUUAAUGUUAAUGUUAUGGAUUAGUUUUUUUUAAGACAACAUUAUUUUAUUCAAUGAAUAAUACCAUACAAUUCGGGGGGAAAAUAACAAACACUCGUUGUACUCGUUAAAGGACAAGUUCCAUCAACACAACAAAACCUUAAGCUUCAACAUUAAUAGAACAUUAUGGCAUGUUAAAAUUGGCUCUGUCACAACUCAAGCACAACAUAUCAGGAGUUAUUACAAGCACUUAAUAUGGUAAGAAAAUCAACCCCGGAUGGUCCAAAGCGGCGGGCAUAAAUCAGCAAAAGAACUGAGCAUCCACCAAACUAGAGGGGAUGCGGUGACAAAACCAACCCUAAAAUUACUCUCAAAAGCAAGACUAAAAAGCGUACUACAAGAGUAGACAAAAACUUCUAAAAGUAAAGACUUAUUAAACAAUGGAAAAAUAAACAAAAAAAACAUAUAAAACUUAAGAUAACAUGAGUCUAAACCGAGUCAUGAAAUCAUUUAUUAUUUUGAAACUCUCAAAACAUAAACAAAUUAAGAAGUCAACGAAGAGGUACCCACUUUCUAAAAGAAAGUGUUGGUGGUCGGUGGUGUUUCAAUGAUGAUAGGCAUUGUCACCUGUCCAUCACAACUUGUAAAGACAACAAAAAUACCCACAAAAUAAAUCUGUAAAUUGAAAAGAACGAAGACUCAUGGAGUGAAUGAGAAGAAGAAAAAUAAAAAGGGUUAAUAGAGAAAAAGCAGGGCGGUAACUAGUCCAGAGGCUAACACCGCUGCUAGGCUAAAAAAAAAAAGAAGCAAACAUGUUAUGGAUUAGUUAAAAUAACUAACAUCAUUGAAAAUUUCAUUACUUGGCUGAUUUGGAUUUUUUUUUUAAAAAAAAUUGAAACUAGAAACCAUAAAUGAUCUAACAUUUAGAAACCAUAAAUUGGGUUCAAUUGCUUUGCUGUCCAACUCCAUCCAUCUAAAAUCGCAAGGAUGUACCCAUGUUCAAUAUGCAGUACAGACCCAAAAAUUGACCAUAUAAUGUGGCUCAAGAGAAUUUUUGAAUGGUUUUAAAGAAUUAUGAGAACACAAUGAAUUAAGUUAAGGCAUCAUUUAUUCAGCUUGCUAUAAUGCAGGUCAUUCCAAUAAAGAAGCAUUUUUUAACUAUAUUUUCCGUUACCCCAAUAACAAUGGCACAGUAUGUUCUCCGAUGAACAUAGAACUCACCAUUUUUAGGAACACGUGUAGUUGAGGAUGAGAAUUCGGAUCAACUGUAACUUCAAAUGGUGGAAUGAAAACAUUGUCCCGAAUAUUCUGAAAAGAUUUUACAAUUCCCAUUUGCUUGUACACAUUAUACAAUCGUGGUGACUGCAGAAUUAAGUCAAAAUCAAGUGAAGAAGGUUACCUUUGACUUGAGAAAUAUAUCACAGAGAGAGAGAAAGAGAAAACAGUAAUCUGGAAAGAUGAUGCUUAAUAUGGACAUGAUACCCUAGAAACCGAUCGAUCUUAAAUUUUAAUUUCUAAAAUAUUAUUAGCUUGUGCAUACUUUCAAAUACUUUUCAUUAGAGUUACCAUAAGACUAAUUUUUCCAAUUUUAGAUGAUUCAAGAAACUAUUUGGGGGCAAUUCUUAAAUAAACAUGUCCAAACAGUAGUCAUUAACAAGAAAGCAUCCAAGAAAACCAGCAGUUAAUACUUAAAUUAACAUUAUCAAAUGGAGAUGUAAAGAAGAAAGAAUCCUACUGCAAAGCUAGAUAGCAGGAGAAUCACUAGAAUGAAGAGAAAUACUAUUGGCACUAUACCUGGAUUAACCAAACAGUAGUCUCACUAUAAAUUUCAUUGUUAAUAAACCAACUGGCCAAACUGGUCCCAUUCACUUUGUUUCCUUCCAUAUAUGGACACCCUGUACUCUGCCAUCUAGAAAAUAUAUAUAUUAUUCAGUGUAGUCAGAGGCGCAAGGAGCACUCUAGAACGUGCUAGAAUCCUUUUAUUGUACAAGGCACAUGGCGCACAAAAAAAAAAAAAAACUUGCUUAUGUUAAGGCACAUGUAUGCGUGUUUUGGUAUGUCCAUGUCUGUAUAUAUAUAAGCCGAAGAUAUAUAAUUAUAAUAAUAAACUAUAAAAGUGCUCCAGUCUGAAGUACAGAACAUGCCAAAUUUUCUUUCUUUUGUCAACCAUACCAUGCCUGGUGUUGAAUACUCAAAUAUUGAGAAGUAGAGAGUUCGAUAUUAUCCCUUUGUUACAAUUAAGAAACAAUUAAAGAGAUAGUAAAGAGAACUUCAAUUAGAAGGUCUUUUCCCCCAACAUGCACCAGGCAGGCGCUUAGCCUGAAAAGGUCAGAGGCCCUUUUACUGUCUGGUGAUAAGGCAAAAAACAUUGGACAAAGUUGGUGGGAGGAUAGAAUACUAAAAGAGCCCAAUGUUGUCACUUUUCUAAAGUAAGCUCAUAUGCUUUUUUUGUACCCAAACAAUAUCUUACCCUUUAAUUUGUACCUAAAGAAAUUAUUUCUAAUAGAAAGUUUACUUUUGUUAUGAUCAAUGUCGGAGGCCAAAACUGAUUUGGGUCAAUUAGCCGAAACAAUAACAACAAUUCCUAGGCUUCAAUAAAAUAAUUUAGACAACAAAUAAAGCUUUAAGGUUGAGUUUUGCACUGCAGCAGCAUUGGGUUUUACAACGUGAAAACCCACAUUGCAAACAAAUACCAAAGUUUCAGAUCUAUCAUAAUUUAAAAUUCUAACUAAACUAAACGCCAAGAAUGCUGAAUGCCUAAACAAAAAACAUAAGAUUAACCCAAGGACCUAAUUGGGUAUGCUAAAAUUUGUCUUGGAAUGAAAUUAAUAAUAUCCUUUCUAUUUCACUUUUUUUUUUCUUCAUAUGUUUGGUGUGAGCAUGAUACAGAUUAGACUGAUUUUAAAGUAAAAGUAAAACGAUACCAAACCUAAAUAUUCUGGUUUUUUAAAUUUUUUUAUCAGAGCCCUAUUUGAUGCAUUUUUAGUUUUGUUUUCUAAUAACAAAUGGAAAGUUAAUUUAAAAAAAAAACCUAAUCCAAUGAGUUCUUUUAUAGAUAUAAGAUAAGUCCUGCAAAGUUUUUGUUUUUUAGAAAUAAAAUUUUGUUUUUGUUUUUUACUUCUUCAUACCUAUUUUAAUAUCUAAGUUCCGGAUUCCUAACUGCCCUUUCAAUAAUAUAGUAUUCAAGAUUUGAACUUAUAUUUUUCUAUAAAAAUAUAAUGUAUUUUAUUAUUGUAUCCUACAUUCAUUAAUACUUAGUAGAAAUAACCUAAUAAAAUGAUUUUUUUCAUAUAUUAAUAGAGAUAAGAUUCGUGCAAAAUUGUUGGUUGAAAAUUCAUUAGGAAAGGAUGAUUGUAUGAAUGUACCAUCAUUAUAAGUGAGCUCAACGAUAAGCCUCCUAUCAAUCACCAGUGUGCAGAAAACAUUUGAAAUCGAAACACCCUUUCAUACAUCAUACAUCAUCAUAAGUGCGCUCAACGAUAAGCCUCCAAUCAAUCACCAGUCUACAGAAAACAUUUGAAAUCGAAACACCCCGGACAUCUCCAACAAAUCUGCCAUAACGUUAGCAUCUCUUCCAUUUUUUCUAAACAAAACCUCACUAAGCUCAUCAAAUGUGCCAAUAUUUCCAAGGCCUAGAUUUCUCAUUGAUACACCAAGAAAGCUCGACUAUGGAGUCGGAUUCAACCAUAAGCUUUCAGUCUAUAAUCCACUAGGAAUCCAAAAAGAAACACUCUCGAACACCUAAAGAACCUGAAACAUAGCAAUGACAUGACCCUUUGAAUUUCUAAGAACCUCACCUCACCACGUCGAGCUAAGAUUACCUAAUGUCUAACCUUCACGGUUAAACUUUUACCAGCCUUCACCUUACUCUUGAUAUGAUGACUAUGGAUACUCCCUUCACAAUCCCACAAACACUCCCACCAAAUUGACUCAACAAAAUUUGCACCUAUAGGUUUUCUGUUUAUAUUUGAUUUUGUUGACACAUUGCCUAAAACUACUCAUGAUCCCUCUCCAACCUAUAAAUACGAGGAUAAUGCGCUUCAACGCGCUCAAACCCACGUCCUCCUGCAUUAGCAACAAUACUCAUGUCAAUCGAGUUAAAACACAAUCAAUAGAUUUUUUUAAAAAAAAAAUCUUUAAAUGUUAUAUUAUUAUAUAAGAAAUUGAAACAUGACUUCCGUAGGUUUUAAAUCUAAUGUUGACACUAAUCUUGAAUAAGUCAUUCCACUCCCAUCUUAACUAAUGGCCAAAGAGAUAUCAAAAGUGGGAGAUGGCCAUAAAAUUGUGUAGUUUGGGUUAUAAAAUUUUUGGGCAAACUACAUAUAUUAUCAUUUAAUUAUAAUUUUUUUUUCAAUUUAAACACUUAAAGUAAAAAAUUUGUAAUUUAAGCACCCACAUUAUAUAGUUUAGUUAUUUUGAUCACUCCAGUUAAAAUAAAAAAUGGCAAACUGAAGCGACAGUUAAAAAAAUUGUAUAAUAACAAAUUUAACCCUCAAAUUUUAUAUAUUAUAUCAAUUACAUAUUACAACUAAUUUUAUAAUUAUUGAUAUUGAAUAUGUCCCUCACUACGCUAGGGAUUUUUUUUUAUAAUUUGUAUUUAAUUAAUAUUUAAAAUUAAUUUCAAAAUAUUUGAAAAUUUUAUAAUUAUUUGGUGUUAGUCCCUUUAUUAUACCCAAAUUUAGGAUUAAGCCCCUAUACUUUAAUUUUGACAUAAUUUGUUUCUUUCACUUUUAUAAUCUCAUUAAUUAUUUCAAGUAACUAACACUUUUAACAAUAUUGCCAAAUAAAAUAAUGUCAUAUUUUUUUUUCUUAAAGCCAUCACUUCUAACUAAAUCAUGACUUAAUCACUUUCUAAUUAAUCAUACUAACUUAGAUUUUUCUUUUGUUGGAAUCAGUACGUUUAAGGAAAACCCACCUUAACAUUUGUAGAUGUCUUCAACAAUUUCCUAAGCACGAUACAAUAAAGCUUGGUGUGUAUAAUUUUGUUUUAUGGAAGCUCCAAAUUAUGUUGAUUCUUGAAUGAUACGGUCUGCAUGGGUUUGUUUUGGGUGCUAUUAGUGUACUAGCACAGUUUGUAGAGGAUAAAUAUGGGAGAUUAGUAGAAAAUUCUGAUUAUGUUUUACAUGUGCAACAAGAUAAGCUAUUGGCUUCUUGGUUACUUUCAACUGUUAGUGAUGAAAUCCUAGCCUAUCUUACUAGUGCUCGUACUAGUUAUUAUAUGUGGGAAACUAUUGAAAAGAAGGGUUGCGACUAAGUCCACGGUAAAAUUGUCCAGUCAUGUGUUGUAUUCACAGAAAAAGGGUCAUUUGUUUGUUAAAGAAUAUUUGUCUAAGAUCAAGUCCAUGUGUGAUAUGUUGGUUGCAACGGGUUGUUUGAUUUCAAAUCAAGAAAUGGUUAGCAUCAUUCUUGCAAGGUUGCCAGUUGAGUGUGAAUCAGUAUGGGUAGUAGCUUCAGCUACUGGUGUGUCACUUGAUCUGUUGAUUGAGAUGCUGCUUGAUUGUGAAGCUCGAAAAUUAAGUUCUUGAAUAGUGUUCUCGUACAACCUAACAUAGCUAGUAAACAAGAUUGUGAUGAGGGUGAUCGGACCAAGGGUUCUGAUUAUAACAGUGGCUAUCAAGGGAACAAACAGACAUAUAUAGGUGGUUUUCAAUGCAAUAGAGGUUUCCAUCGAGGUUGAGGCCGUGAGGGUUGUUUUUCAAACAAUCGGCCCCAAUGCCAGUUGUGUGGUAAAAUUGGACACAUUGUCCAAAAGUGUUAUUACCGUUUUGAUGAAAGUUUUGCAGGUAUUGCUAGGAUGGUAAUAUGGUAUAGUGGGCUGCAUCUUGAUUGUUUGUUUCUCAUGCUGAGGCUAUAUUUUAAUCAUACCUAUUAUUGUUUCUUGUGUCCAGCUAUUUCAUCAUUUGCAGGCUGUUUCACUAAUCGCAUCCUAUUUACAAGUUCCCUUGUGUUAUCCUCUGCGCUUGGGUGGUUCUCGCUCAUAUAUUAAUGACCAUGCGUCUUCAAUAGACCAUGCAUCUUCUGAUUUGUCAUUGUAUACAACACUUUCAGCAAAUGUAAAGCCGGUAGAAUUUCCGCUGUUUUUAGAAGGUCAAGACACGACAAGAGCAGCAUAUGCUGUGUUCUUGUUAAACAAGGUAAGCUUUUGCAUAUUAGUAAUUUUUUUUUCCAAGAUGAAUUAUUCUCCUUUGGCAUUUUAUAUUAUAUAAUUAGUCACUACAAAACAUAAAUAAAUAAUAAUACUCCAUUUUUACAAUAAAAAUUCACUAAAGAAAAUACAUUUGAAGUCUGUCAUUGCUUUUUCGAAUAAGAGUCGGUCAAGAAAGUUAUGCGCAAAUACUUAUAUCUUUAUUUCAGAUGCUUUCAAUUCUAUUGUCACUUAAAUCCAAGUACUUUAAAUUUGUCAAAUUAUUCAAUUUUGAAAUUCAAUCCCAAAUAUUGAUCAAUUAUAUAUAUUCAUGAUAUGAUAAAAGCAAAGACAUCUUGCAACAUUAACUUUCCCUUAAACAAAAAUUGGUUUUAAAGUAAAAAAGAAACAUAUAAAACCAGUCUACCUUUAAUAUGAAUCAAUAUAUAAACACUAUACUUAUACCUUGGUUUGAGAUGCUUUCAAUAUUGUUGUCGCUUAAAUACAAGUAUUUCAAGUUUGUCAAAUCAUUCAAUCCCAAAUAUUGAUUAGUUAUAUAUGAUAUGAUAAAAUCAAACUUGAACAUGCAUUGAUUUUUAAAGUUGAAAAUUACUUGUUAAUUUUUUUUCUUUCUUACCUAUAAGAAAAUUUUACUAAAGUAAAAAUGGAAUUACAACGGAUAAAAAGAAUGGAAAACUAGGUACCAGGCCUAGAAGACCAUCCUCAAACUCCACUAUACAAAUAAAAACUAACACCAGACCAAACUUAAUUUACCUCUUAGAUGACUUGAUCCUUCAAAUUGGUUGUAUGAUAGAUCUAAAUACCGGAGAGAUGAAAGCUCACUCAAAGAUAACAAAAUGCUAUCAUUCAAGUAAUUGUAACUUAAGUCAAGGAUCUCCAAAUUACUCAAUGUGAAUGAUAGUUUUCCAAAGCCUGUAGAAGUGUUCUUUUAAAUAUAUACAAGCAGUUAGUGACUUUUCUUCAAUAAAAUAAAAUAUAAGUAAUUGUAAAUUAACAAUGAUGAGAAUAGUGGAAUAGUAAAAGAUGUAAUUAAGGAAAAAAAUAAAGGCACGACCUUCAUUUUCAAGGUUACCACCUAUGGCAUUUCCCGACAAAUAAAGUCUCUUCAAUUCCUCAAAAGGAAGAAACAUAGAGGCAUUGAGAUACCAGGCAAUGAGAUUCCUAUUAUCCAUGCUGUAUUCCCUAUUGUCUUCCCAUUUUGUAGAAAUAAGGGAGAGUUGUAUGAGUCUCCUAGUGGUGGUGUUACACUCAACUCCUUCCCAUUUACAACAAUCUGAACCCUUCACCUCAACCCAACUUUGCAAUGGAUUCCGAUAAACGAAGAAAGGCUUGAGAUGCAAGAGAGUGAUUCUCUCAUGCUCCAAACAAGCAUCAGUAGUACACCAUCUGCAUCCUUCUAACACCAACAACAUUAUUGCCAUCCUAAUAAACUAUAACCAUUUCCACUCCAUCAUCAUCAUCUCUCUGUUUGGUAUAUAUAUGGACCACAAUUCAAGUUUCAUGCUUAUAAUUAUACCAAAUCAAAGUUCAUGUAUCAAAUUGCACAUUAAAUCAAAAUUUAUGUAUACAUUUGAUAUUUAUCUCAUUUAUGGGAGAUUAACUUUCUAAUGGUAUUGUUUUGUUUACAUUAAUCCAAAUAAUUGGAAAUGAUGAAUUAGUUUAACGCAGAUUGUAAUUCUAUUAAUGUUUCUUCUCAAACUUUUGGUUGCUCUUAUUUACAUGUUUUAUUAAUUGAUAGAUUUAAAUUCUUGGAAUAUAUUCUGUUAGAAUUAAGUGCUCCGAAUUCUUAUUUAAAUAAAAUACAGUGUUAAAAUAAAAGAAAAGUAAAAUCCCUAUAGAAUUAUACUUCUUUUAUUUUUAUUUUAGAAUAAGGUUUUUUAAAUCUUUUAAACUCCAUUUAUUUGAUAUUGAUUAGAAUAAAGAGUUUCACUCCUAUUAGAAUAAAGUUUUACAAGCCUAUAAAUAGACAUAGUCUACUCCUCUUGUAAUUAAUUCAAAUUCGACAUAGUGAAUUUUCUUCUCCUCUGCCAGUGGUUUUUUCCCGAAAGGGUUUCCACGUAAAAUUUGUGUGUUCUUUAUUUUUCUAUUUCUAUUUUCUUUGCGAUAUAUUGUCAUUACCGACAUUUAUUUUCACAAAUUGGUAUUCGAGCUUCUGGGUUGUUCAUCUCAAUCACGGUAAUGAUGUCUUUGAAGUAUGAAAUUCUACUGUUGGAUCGCAACACCAGAUUCGCAUUUUGGUAGAUAAAGAUGCAGAUAGUUCUUGCACAGAUGAACUUAGAGGAAGCCCUGCUAAGGUUAGAUAAGAUGCCUUUAACAUUGAUGGAGGAAGAGAAGAAGCACAAGGAUUGAAAGGCGUUAACACAAUUACAUCUGCAUUUGUCUAACAAAAUUUUACAGGAUGUGAUAAAGGAGAAUGCCGCCACUUGAUUAUGGAAAAGGUUGGAACAACUAUGUAUGUCGAAAACUCUAACUAGUAAGCUGCAUAUGAAGCAACGUCUUUAUGCUCAUUGUUUGGAGGAAGGUGCGUCUGUUCAUGAACACUUGACAGUGUUUAAAGAAAUUCUCUCAAAUUUGGAGGCCAUGGAGGUUCAGUAUGAUAAGGAAGAUUUAGGGUUGAUUCUACUUUGUUCGUUGCCCCGUCUUAUUCAACCUUUAGAGAUAAAAUUUUCUAUAGUCGCGAGUCUCUCACAGUUGAUGAGGUUUAUAAUUCUUUAACCUCGUAUGAUAAGAUGAUGCAUCUUAUAGUUAAAACUGACUCUCAAUGAGAGGGUCUCAUUAUUCGUGAGAGAUAAGAUCGGAAUGCUAAUGAUGAUCGUGGAAGGACACAGGAACAGAAUCCUCACAGCAAAUCUAAAAGUAGAUCGAAGUUUUCAAACAGAGGUAAAACUUGUAACUUCUGCAAGAAGAAAUGGCACAUUCAAUCUGAGUGCUAUAAGCUACAGAACAAGAUCAAAAGGGAGACUGUGAAUCAAAAUAGAAAACAACCAAAAAAUUCGGUAAGGCUAAUGUUGUAGAAGACUACAGUGAUGGUGAACUUCUAGUCGCUUCUGUCAAUAAUUUUAAAGUGAGUGAGGAGUGGAUCCUUGAUUCGGGUUGCACUUUCCACAUGAGUCCCAAUAGGGAUUGGUUUACAACUUACGAAAUAGUGUCUGAAGGUGUUGUUUUAAUGGGAAAUAACACUUCAUGUAAAAUUGCAAGUGUUGGAACAAUUAAAGUUAAGAUGCUUGAUGGAGUUGUCAGAACACUUAGUGACGUACGACAUGUUCCAAAAUUGAAGAGAAAUUUAAUUUCAUUGAGUACUCUUGAUUCAAAAGGGUACAAAUACACAGCUAAAAGUGGUGUUUUGAAGAUUUCUAAAAGUUCCCUCAUUGUGAAGAAAGGACAGAGAAAGACUGCCAAGUUUUAUGUUUUGCAGGGUUCUAUUGUUACUGAUGAUGCAGCUGUCGUAUCCUCUUCCUUGUCAGAUGAUGAUAUUGCUAAACUUUGGCAUAUGCGCGUAGGGCAUAUGAGUGAGAAUGACAUGGCAGAAUUAAGCAAAAGAGGACUUCUUGAUGGGCAAUGAAUUUGCAAACUAAAGUUCUGUGAGCACUACAUUUUUGGGAAGCAAAAGAGAGUUUGAUUCACCAAAGGAAUCCAUAACACAAAGGGAAUGUUGGAGUAUAUUCAUUCUGAUCUGUGGGGGUCAUCCAAAGUACCUUUGAGAGGUGGAGCUAAUUAUAUGCUAACUUUUAUUGAUGAUUUUUCUAGAAAAGUGUGGGCGCUCUUCCUGAAGCAGAAAAGCGAUGUGUUUUUUGUAUUGAAGUCUUGGAAAACCAUGAUUGAAAAAAAAAGGGAAAGCAAAUAAAACACCUCUGCACAGACAAUGGCUUAGAGUUCUGUUCUGAUGAGUUUAAUAAAUUGUGCAAGUUAGAAGGGAUCAUGAGACACUUGAUAGUUCGUCAUACUCCACAGGAAAACGGCGUUACGGAACAAAUGAACAGAACGAUCAUGGAGAAGGUUCGAUGUAUGUUGUCAAAUACCAACUUACCAAAGUCAUUUUGGGCCGAAACAGCCUCUACUGCAUUUUUUUAAUCAACUGAUCUCUAUCCAUUGCCAUUGAGAAAAAUACUCCACAAGAGGUAUGAUCUUGUAAUCCUGCUGACUAUUCUGAUUUAAAGAUUUUUUGUUGUCCUGCGUGUGCUCAUGUUGAUAAUGAAAAAUUGGAACCGAGAUCCAUUAAAUUUGUUUUUCUUGGUUAUAAAGCUGGUGUAAAAGGGUAUAAGUUAUGAUGUCCUGAAAAUAGAAAAGUUGUGAUUAGUAGAUAUGUUGUUUUUGAUGAAACUGUUAUGCUACCUAACGUAUCUCUUAAAGAAUCUCCCAAUAAAGAAAAUCAAAAGCAGGUGGAGCAUCAGAUUAAUACAGAAUCUACAAUAGAGUCGACUACUGAAGCCAGUACAAAAAUUUAAAAUAGAGUUGCUCCUUCACCAUAAUACUCUACAUAAUACUCUAUCGCCAAAAAUAGAACUAGAAGAGACAUUAAACCUCCAAAGAAGUAUGUCGAGGUUGAUCUAGUUGCUUAUGCUUUAAAUGUGGCUAAAGAUAUAGAUGCAAAACAAGAGCCAUCUAAUUAUUCUGAGGCGGUUAGUUGUGAAGACUCAGAAAAGUGGAUGUUUGCUAUACAAGAGGAGAUGGAAUCACUCCACAAAAAUAAAACAUGGGAUCUUGUGAAACUUCCUAAAGGUAAAAAGGUUGUUCGUUGUAAAUGGGUGUUUAAAAAGAAAGAAUGGACUCCAAGAGUUGAAGAACCCAGAUAUAAAGCAAAGUUUGUUGCAAAGGGUUACAGUCAAAUUCCAGGAGUGGACUUCACAGAUGUGUUCUCUCCAGUUGUGAAGCAUAGUUUGAUUCGAGCUUUACUUGGUAUUGUGGCCAUACAUGAUUUGGAGCUUGAGCAGUUAGAUGUAAAAAUUGCAUUUUUGCAUAGAGAACUUAAAAAGGAUAUUUACAUGCAACAACCAGAGGGUUUUACAGUCUCAAAAAAAGAGGACUAUGUUUGCUUACUGAAAAAGUCUCUUUACAGUUUGAAACAGUCACCAAGACAGUGGUACAAGAGGUUUGAUUCCUUUAUGACUUCUCAUGAUUUUAAAAGAAGUAGCUUUGACAGUUGUGCUUACUUUAAGAAAAACAAUGAUGGUUCUUUUGUGUAUCCACUCUUUUAUGGUGAUGAAAUGUUGAUAGCAGCGAAAGAUAAAUGAGGGAUAAGAAAGGUCAAAGCCCAACUAAGUGAAGAAUUUGAUAUGAAAGAUUUGGGACCAACAAAGAAGAUACUUGGUAUGGAGAAUCUCAAAGAUAGAAAAGCAAGUAAAUUAUACCUAAGUCAAAAGGGGUACAUUGAGAAAGUUCUUUGCAGAUUUAAUAUGCAGAAUGCUAAGCCUGUUAGUACUCAUUUAGCAGCCCAUUUCAGACUUUCAUCGGCUUUGUCUCCACAAUCAGAUGAUGAGAUUGAGUACAUGUCACAUGUUCCAUACUCUAGUGCAGUGGGAUCUCUCAUGUAUGCUAUGGUUUGUUCACGUUCAGAUUUAUCAUAUGUAGUCAGUGCAGUUAGCAGAUACUUGGUGAAUCGGUAAAGAACAUUGGAAAGUAGUUCACUGGAUUUUAAGAUACUUACGAGGCACUACUGAUGUUUUCUUACAGUUUGGAAAAACUAGAGAUAAAGUCAUUGGGUAUGUUGAUGCUGAUUUUGCUGGAGACUUUGAUAGAAGAAGAUCUCUCACAGGUUAUGUCUUUACAAUCGGAGGUUGUGCAAUCAGUUGGAAAGCCACUUUGCAAACUACAGUUGCUUUGUCUACCACUGAAGCUAAGUACAUGGCGAUUACUGAGGCUUGUAAAGAAGCUAUUUGGUUGAAGGGACUCUUUAGUGAACUCAAUAAAGACCUUCAAAUCAAUACAGUAUUUUGCGAUAGUCAAAGUGCUAUCUUCCUUACAAAAGAUCAAAUGUUUCAUGAGAGAACAAAACACAUUGAUGUUCGAUAUCAUUUUGUUCGUGAUAUUAUUACUUGUGGUGAUAUUGUUGUGAGCAAAAUUAGUACUCAUGAAAAUCCUGCAGAUAUGAUGACUAAGUCACUUCCUAUAACCAAGUUUGAGCAUUACUUAGACUUGGUUGGUGUUCAUUGUUGAAGUUAAACCCUUAAGGGAUUUUAUGGAAUAGGUGGAAAACUUGAUUGUUGAGAGUUUGCGAUGAAGAACUUGUUCAUUAAGAAUUCGUGUCAAUGUGGAGAUUGUUAGAAUUAAGUGACCCAAAUCCUUAUUUAAAUAAAAUACAGUGGUAAAAUAAAAUAAAAGUAAAAUCCCUAUAGAAUUAUACUUUUUUUAUUUUAUUUUAGAAUAAGGUUUUUUAAAUCUUAUUAAACUCCAUCUAUUUGAUAUUGAUUAGAAUAAAGAGUUUCACUCCUAUUAGAAUAAGGUUUUACAAGCCUAUAAAUAGACAUAGUCUACUCCUCUUGUAAUUAAUUCGAAUUUGACAUGGUGAAUUUUCUUCUCCUCUGCCCGUGGUUUUUCCCGAAAGGGUUUCCACGUAAAAUCUGUGUGUUCUUUAUUUUUUUCUAUUUUUAUUUUCUUUAUGAUAUAUUGUCAUUAUCAACAUUUAUUUUCACAUAUUCUAAUUAAUUAGAUAUUUCCUUCCUUCCAAAAGCCUUUCAAAAUAGGUUUAGUUUGACCAAGAUACUCUUGUAGAAAAUUUUAGUUUUGUGGGAAAAAGAAAAACUAGAUUUACUUUUUUAUUCUAAUUGGUUUCAUAUGCAAGGUAUAUAAACUUUUGUGUCGCUUCAAUUUUUUUCCAACAUAUGUAUGUGAUUUGUGGGGUUUCAAUUUUGAAUUUUUUUUAUAAUUUAAUUAAAUUAUGAAAGUAUUUGAAAGUUUUUAAGUUGAUACAAUGUUUAGAACUACCCCAACACCCACCCAAUCCUUAAAUAGGAGGAUAAACAUGCUUCAGCACGCUCGAACUCACAUUCUCCUACAUAUAUGAUAAUACUAAUGCCAACCGAGUUAAGACUCAACUAGUCUUGAAUUUUGAAUUUUACUUCUUAUACAUUUUGAAUUUUGAAAUUUUAAUUUUGCCCAAACAGUAGCAGUUAAAUUAAUUUGAUUAAAUUUAAUUACUAGACCUAUAUUAUGCGUACGAUUAUUGAUUAGUCUAUACUCUCCAAUUGGGCAAUUCUAAGUACCUAUACUUUCUGAAUUUUGAAAUUUCAGUCUUGAUGCAAAUGACAAUUGUUAAUCCAUUAAUUAGAUUUUUAGCGAGUAAUAUGUGAAAAUAACAAACUGGCAUAACAUUACACAUAUGAUAAUAUGUUUAUUGCAAUGCAUUUGAAAAUAGCCGAAUUUAACAAAUAUCGUUAGUGAGGAUUGGAAAUUAGAGUCUAGGGAUUAAAUCCACAAGUUCAGUAAAUUACAAGAACUAAUGGUAGAAUUUAACCUUUAUAUAACCUUUAAAUUCUAACCGUGGUUUGCACACUACUCAGCCGACCAUUGGCUGUGGUGGGAACACAAACUGUUUGAAUUUGACAUCAGUGAUUGAAUUUUCAUAGCUAAUAUGUACGUUCCUUCAAUUUCUCCAUAGGAGGGAGUGGAAUACAUUAUAUAAGGUAAUAUUUGAUAUAUUCGGUAAAUGAAUAAUUGCAAGAUAUCUCAUUAUCUAGUAAAAUAAAUAAUGAAAAUUUUAUAAAUAAAUAUUAAUAAUUUUAUCUAAUAAUAAUUAAUUACUUUUUGGGACAGACUUUUUUUAGCAAAUAGAUAUUUUAUUGGCUGACAAAGUAGUAUAAAAUGAACUCCCACAGUCGCAGCAAACAUUACAACCAAAAGUAUCAGUUAGCUAAUUAGCAAGGGAGUGAGCAAGCCAUUCGCCUCACGAAACACAUUAACAAAAGAUCAAGAGCUUAAUACAGUCAAUAAAUCCAUCGAUUUCAUCGACAACCUUCUAAUACUUCCCAUGUGACAGUCCUUUAUUACUCACCCUUAUAACCCAAGACAAAUAUGACGACAAUUGUCGGAUGCUUUAAAAACUUUUUUCAAAAUACCAUAAUUUUGUACGAAGUAGUUGGAGGAAAUAAAAUAUUAUUACAUAUAUCAACAACGACCUAGUAAGUUGCAUUAACUUUUAGAUGUUGACUAUUGGCUUUUGCAUCAACCUUGAACUUACGUAGGCCCCCUACAGUAAUUUAGGUUAUGGAAAUAAUCUUGCAAAUAAUGCUUGAGACAUCAUUAUACAUCAAUUUACAGUUUUAAUUCUUAUACUUACUCAAUUGGAAUAAAGAUUUAGUUUUUCAUUUUCUUUUGAUACAAUGUCUAGAAUUACCCAUAGCCCUUUUCCAACCUUUAAAUAAGUGAAUAAUGUGCUUCAGCGUACUCGAACUCACAUCCUCUUACAUUGACAACAUUGUUGAUGCCAAUUAGUUAAUGUUAAUGCUAUACUUUAGUUAAAAAUAACUAACAUCAUUAAAAAAUUCAUUAGUUGGCUCAUGUGGAUUUUUUUUUUUCAAAAAAUUUGAAACUAAAAACCAUAAAUUCUUUAAGACUUAAAAAUUAAAAUUAGUGGUUAUUAAAAAAGAGCUAUUUUUUAUUAAAUUAUUAUUUAAAAUAAAUUUAUCUCAUCAUAAUGAUAUGAUUUUUUUUCUUUAAAAAAUCCACAUUAACCGACUAGUAGAAUUGUAUAAAGCUACCACCAAUCUCUUGGCAUGAUGGCAAAAGAUUCAGAGGUAGAGCCAGAAACUUUUUUGAGGGGCGUGAAUAAAGUUUUAUAUUUUUAUAAUAGUAAAAGUGAAAUUUUAUUAUUUUAAUAGUUUAUAUCUUUAUAAUUUUUAAAGGAUUAAAUAAAUUUUUUCUUAUUUUUGAGGGAUAAAGUAUAAGUUUAUCAUAUACUAAUUUUAAAAUUAUAAAAAGACUAAAGGUGAAAAUUUUCAUUUUAGGGGGGUGGGGCCCUGCCAGGUCCCCUUGGCUUCGCCUUGAUAAAAGUAUUAUGUUAUACGUAUAAAGUUUGAAUUUAAUCCCAAUCAAUCUCAUUUCUUAUCCCUAAUUAUAAAAUAAUAAAAUAAAUAGAGUAAUUGAUGUGAGGAGGUAAGUGUAAUAGGCCAAUUUUGACCUGGGCUAGAUUUCAAAACAAAACCCAAACCAAAUAAUAAAAGAGUCCAAGAUAAUUAAAACAAUCAAUUCAUUUUACAAACAAACCCAAAUUAGCAGCCCAAAUACAAAUUAAAACCCAAUAACCCAAAACUAGCCUUAGCCCAAUUAGCUCAACACUUAAACACAACAACAAAAAAACCCUAUCCCCCCAAGCCUCCAACGCUGCGUGACCACCUGCGCCGCACGCCAUCGUUGCCGCUCGAGGCUCGCCUAUCACCGACCAUCCACGCGUCUGACACUUGCAAAACCAAGGCAACACGUAACAACAAAGGCCAAAUAGAGGAAACAACAAGGAAACAUACAAAAAAGGAAGAAACAAAUAGUUUUGAUUCGGCUAUAAAAGCCCGAAUCUCACCCUUGUAAUUUUUUUGCGAACAUUAGAAAAUAAAAAAACAAAAACAACACUUUCAAGGUGAAUUUCUACUUUUAUUUCUAUUUUAAAUACCCAUUUGAUUCUAUAUUCAUAUUUUUAUUUUAUUUUUUUAUAUAUAUACGAAAAUAAUAAAAUAAAAAAAGGAAGAAAGGGCUCACCAGAGACGCCCCAUGACCGUGCCGUCAAAGGGCUCUUCUUCAUUGUUGCCAUCGGAUCUGAGAAGGGGUCGAGAGUCUUCCUCUUUCAUUUUUUUGGGUCGAGAGGGCUGGGCUUCCAAGGGAGCUGCGAAACGGGGGCUAAAAACGCCCUUUUGCGCAACACCGACCACCGCCCACGAUAGCGCUGCAGCGGCGACCAUGGCCGGCCAAGGGGUGGGCUGAGAGAGAGACCAAGAGAGACUGAGAGAGUUUUCUUUUUUUUAGAAAAAUGAAAGUUGAACCGUUUUUUUCUUCUUUUUUUUUGCUAUUUAUAUAGGGUAUAAUACGACGCCGUUUUGGACUUAAACACCAAUGGCCAAAACGACGCCGUUUUGCAUCAGACCCGAAAAUUGACCCGAAUGCGGCCAGGAUCUACGCGUUUUAGCUUUGAGGAGCUAUUUGCAUAUUCAGCCCUUCCGCUUUUGUAGUAUAGUGCAAUCUGGUCCUUGUUGUUUUUAUAUUUUGGCCGCAUAAUUUUUUGAUUGUUUUACUUUGGUCCGAGCUGAAACGCUGCGCAUGGGGGCUGGGAAUAUUGCCCAGUCGGUCCCUCAUUCCUUAAGCGCGCUCUAUUUCAGUCCCUAACAACCUUUUUUUUUAUUUGUAAUUUGAACCCCAAAUUCUGGGUCGAUUUUAGUAUCAUCCUUAGUCCAUUUAAUUUAUUUGUUCAUUAUUUUUUAUUUAAAAAACUCUUUUAUUAUUAUUUGUUUUAAGUUUUUUUAUUUAUCAUUUAUUUUAAAUUGUUUUACAUACUAUUUAUUUAAAAUUUUUAUAUAUUAUUCAUUUUAAACCAUUAUAUGUACAUUAUCUUUUAAAUUUUUAUAUACAUAUAUAUUUUUAAAAAAAACUGUUGUAUUUUUCUUAUUUAUUUAUUUUAAACUGUUAUUAUUAUUCAUUUUAAGUUUUUAUAUACUGUUUAUUUGAAGCCUGUUAUUAUUUAUUUUUGAAUUGUUCUUAUAAAUUAUUUACUUUAAAUUAUUAUUUACUUUGAAAUUUUUUUUGCAUAUUAUUUUGUUUUGUUUUUUUUAUUGUUAAUAUUAGUAUAAAAAAUUAUAUACAUUGUGUGAUUAUUACAGUCAUGUGUACUAUAAUUAGUUUCUUCGUGCUUUCAUAUUAUUAUCACUCAUUAACAUAACAUUUUUUUCAUAAAUUGUUAUUUUAUGUUCUAUGUUAUCAUUCCAUUUCACUUCAUCACUUCGACAGUUGCAUUCAAUUUGUAUUUACCCAUAAUAAACCGUUCUAUUUUGUCACAAAUAAAACAAAUGCACCUCGUUCAAGCAUUGUACUCACAAUUAUUCAAAACAGGGAAAAGUUUUAAAAUAAGGUAAUAUUUCGCGUUUUGGAGAUUCGAGAAAUUAUUCUCUAACUUACAGGGUUUCAAUUUUCUCGUUGAACCUAAAUAGCAAAAUAUCCUUCUAAUUUUCAAAAUUUACGAAAUUCCAAUAAAGUUAAAGGCUAACUUAUUCUCAAGGGUUCGAAGUGUCGUGUCCUAACUUACGGGAUGUGACAUUUAUUAUCUCGAGACGAGAGGAUCUUUGACAUUCGUUUCAAUUUAUUCAAGCAAAUUCUUUUAAAUUAAAAUAGCGUUAACAAAAGGGGGGUCGUGUUUUAAAUUCUUUCGAAGUUUUUCAAUUUUUAACAUUUAGACAUUAAUUAAUCAAUUGAGUACCAAUUUUGGGCGUGACGAGGGUGCUAAUCCUUCCUCGCAUGUAACUGACUCCCGAAUCUGUUUUCUCAAAUUUCAUAGACCAAAAUCACUGUUUUGAUAAAUUAAAAUAUUUUAUUAAAACAACUAAAUUAUGAGGUGACCUAAUCACACCUCAUAAAAAAAAGGAUUGGUGGCAACUCCCGUUUUAAUUUCUAUUUUCAAACCAACGUCGACCCUUUUAAAAAAAUGGCUUCAAUAUUAAGUUAUAAGUUGAAUGAAUUAAAAAUAUGUGAAAAGUGUAAAUAGAGACUCUUCAAUCUCAUUUCCUCUAAUGCUCUUUUUUUAAAAAUUUUUUUAAAAUUUUUUAUGUACCUUUUAAAUAGUUAAUGAAAAUAAAAGUAUUUUGAUAAUUUUCACUUCGAAAUGCAAAAGCCAAAAACAGUUUUUGACUACAAAAGCGGUGUGUUCUUCAUCACUUCUCAGUGGAAAAACACUUCUGCAGUGUAAAAAAACUUUUAACCCAAAACGGCUUUUUCACCACAAUAGAGAAUGCACCCUAAAAUUGUAAAUAGAAAAAAGAAGGAUCAAACAUUGUUUCUACCCUGUUUUUGUCUCCUCUUUGAAAAUACUUUCCAAAAAGUUUUAUCAUUUUUUUUUCUGUUUACAAAUUCCUUAUAGAAGCGCUUUCUUUUGAUCCACUUGCAUCAUUGUAAUAAGUUUGCAUUGCAUUCUAACUUUCUAUGUUGAUUACAGUUUAUUAAGUUUUCUGUUGGAUCUUAUAGUCAAAUUCCUGUACAUCAUGUAUGUUAAUUUGCUUAGCCCUGAUAAAUGUUAGAUAUAGGAUUAUCAGUGUCGAAACCACUUUUUUGGCGGACAAAAAUUAGUUGUUGACUUUAAAAACGAAAAUUGGAGUCGCCAUCGAUCCUUUAUUGGGGUGUGAUCGGCUCACCUUAAAAACGAUUUUGGUCUGCAAAAUUUGAGAAAACAGGUUCGGGAGUCGGUUACGCACGAGAAAGAGUUAGCACCCUCUUAACACCCAAAAUUGGUACCGAAUUAAUUAAUUAAGGUCUUAAUGCCGAAUAUCGAAAAUCCGUGAAGAAUUUAAAAAUACGAUCCUCCCUUUUUGUUAAUGUUAAUUUUAUAAAAGAUGCUUGGAUAAAUCGAAGCGAAUGCUAAAGACCUUUUUGUCUUGGAAUAAUAAAAUGUCACACCCAAUACGUUAGGACACGACAUUUUAGUCCUCGAGAAUAAGCUUGUCUUUUGAUUUUCAAAGCUCGUGCGGUGAAGUUUAAAAAGGAUAUUCAAUUGCUUUAAUUUAGAUGAAAAAUCAGAGCCCAAUACGUUAGGGCACAAUUUCUCAAAAUUCCGAGCAUUGAAUAUUGCCCUUAUUAUUAUUAAUUUUUUAAAUCUUAAUCUCGAGAAAAUGACAUGUCAUAUCCAAUACGUUAGGACACGACGUAUCGAAUUCCCGAGAAUGAGCUUUUUAUUUAUGCUUUAAUUAAAAAAGGAUACCCGGUUUCUUAUUUGGGCUUAGGUCAAAGCUACUGCAUGAUUUUGCAACUGUCAUUGCUUACGACAUCAUUGAAUUUGCUUAAUCUGGUUUGUCUUCUUUUUGGCCAUAUUUUUCGACAGGUAAUGGUGGCUGCCCUAUAAGUCCAUCUGGAGGGUAUUUUGUAUUGUAAACAUCACUUCUCCCAGCUUUUCAAAGAGAAAGGAAGUAACAAUCAUCUUAUCAAGUCUGCGUCUGUUCCAGAAGCUUGAAUUCAAUUGUUCAUCAUGUAUUUACUUCUUGCCCUGUGCUGAUUUAUGCUUAUGGCUUAACAUUCAUCGGCGUAUAUGUUACAGUAUUUGAUUUAUCUAUGGGAUCAGAAAUGCAUUUCCCAAGCUUGUAAAAUGACACUUGCAAGCUGCAAUGCUAUAUUACCAUAUGUAGCUAUGUGAAUAUUUUCGUUUCUUUGAAGUCCCAUGAUCAUGUAAGCCGGCAUCUGAGUUCGAGUAACAUAGGCAAAUAAAAUUGUAAGCUUAUGAGAUUUCUUUUCAUUAAUUAAUCAACAAUAGAAAUUGUAACAACAGAUCGAUUGUGUACAAACACCAAUUUUAAAGCUUUUGCUUUCCAUGAAAGAAUAAAAAAAAACAUAAAAAACGAUAUUCCUCUACUACAACCCCCAAGCUGGGAAUGGUAGAGACCAAUCAGUCAUUUAUUGGAGUUUAUAAUUAAAAAAGGAUACGACGUUAGAACCUAGGGUUAGGUUUACUAUUUUUGGCUUCUGAAAAUGUUAGGGUUUAGGGAGUUGGGCUCAUUUGGGCUAGUGGGUUAGGUCUAGGGUCUGUUUAGGUGUAUUGGGCUCCAAGUUUUUUUUCUGAUUUGGGCUUGUAUUUAGGUUGUUUGGGUUUAAUUGGUUUAUUUGGUACGGGCCCGGGCAAAUUUGGGCUUCUACAUAUUAAUCUAAAUAGGUAAUAGAUAUAAAUUACGUAUUAUAAAAGAAAACUAUUUAAAAAGGGUAAAUUCUAUUGGAUUAACAUAAAAAUAUAAAAUAAUUCAUUAUGAAAUUAAAUAAUAAUAUAUGAUAAUAAUAUAAAAAAAAACUUAAAAUAAUAGUGCAUAAUAGAAUAAAAUAAUGAAUAUAAAAAGGUUAGAUAAAUUGAUAAAAAAAUAAUACUAAUAAUAAUAGUAGUAAUAAUAAUAAUAAUAAUAAUAAUAAUAAUAAUAGUAAUAAUGAUAAAUUAAUAUUAAAGUAAUUAAUUUGAUAGCAAAAAUAAUAAAAGAGAUUACUAAUUUGGAAUUAAAACAGAAAUUUAGGGGUAAGACGUGCAAUAAAAUGAAAUAAAAAGGACCUAAUUGAAAUUAAUUUAAAAUCAGACGUGACUAGCACAGAAAUUAAACGCACAAGUCUCACCUGGCAAUCUAGUAAGAUCAUCGGAAACGGCGUCGUUUCGAACGUUUGUCUCCUCAACUGACAGAAGGACGAAAUUGAAAGCAAGAUCGAAUUAUGUGGCAAAAUUAAAAAAGACAAAGAAGGAUUAAAAUGAAGUAAAUCUAAAAACGGAAGAACCAAACACGAAAAUAAGCCAUUGAAACAAAACACGCGGAUCCUCCCCGGGUCAAAUCGGAUCAUCGGGUCAACCAACACGGAGACGUUUUGAAGCCAUUAAAUCGGGCUUAAACGGCACCGUUUUAUUAUCGUUAAAAAACUAAAAAAAUAAAACCCUAAUAAGUUGUUUUGCAUUCCUAAAAAAGAUCAAGAGCCUAGCCUUUCUUCCCACCGGUCUCCAGUCACGAACCCAAUCUGACUCCGAUUCAGACGGAGCAAACCAGGUUCCAAUGGCGUCUGCUCUGGUAAGACGCUUCUUCUCUCCCUCUUUUUAUUUCGUUUGGUGCCAAAGAAGAAAACAAAGAAUCAAAGAAAUAAAAGAGAAAAAAAACGAAGAAAAUCACCUUUCGAAAAAACUUUCUGUUUUGAUUUUUUGUUUGUAUUCAAUAUGCGUAAAAAAGGGUUACAAUGGCCUUCUCCCUCUUUAUAGCCGAAUAUUCGAAAUAAAAUGAAAGAAAAUACAAAAAAUUCUCUCUGCUGCGUUGUUUUCGUCUUCUUUGCAGGUAAGGAGGCUAGCUGGCGUAAGGAGGUGGUGGAUGUGGCACAGCACACGCGGGGAAGGCCCUGGUGGCUGCGGCGCCGGAAGGAGGGCUGUUGCAGCUAGGGUUUUCUGAUUUUUUUUGUUUUGGGCUAGGGUUGUGUUGAUAGUUGUAUUGGGCUAGGUAUUUGGGCUGGGUGUAGUUGGACUAGAUGCAUCUGACUUUGGGUUUGUACCGGGUCACUGUAAAUGGGUUUGGUUUUUUAUUGUUAUUGGGCUGUGAACUAUUUGAGUUUUAAUUAAUUUUUAUUUAUUUGGUUUUUUAUUGUGGGCUGGGCAAAUUGGGUAUUACAAUCAGCUAAUUAGGAAAGACUGUGAUGAUAGUCACACCUUUCGUCCAAAAGCAAAGCUUUUUUUACAUGUGUAUGUAAGGUUGCUAAGCAAAUCGGGUGAGCCUUCACUACUGUUUUAAGGUUAAGUUAAUGUUCCUUUUCGGCAAAGAACAUUAUCGAGAUCACGGUAUUUUGAUCGCCUUUUGCUUCUUGUUAUUCGUUCUGAGACGAUUGCAUAAUCUUUACUGUGAUUGCAGGAUAUAGAGCAACUUUUGAAUUUCAUCGCUGUAAAGAGUUUAGGACCACGACAUGUUCUUGCAAAUUUGAAGAAGCUUCUAAGGUCUGUCCAGUCUUCAGAAUAUAUAGAUACCUGAAUUAAUUUUGAUUUUGUAGGAUCAACUAUAAUUAGCUACUUAUUACACUAUGAAUAGACAACCUCACCUUCUUCACACACUACACGUGCGGAUUUUUUACCAAUCCCAUUUCAAAGGAUCACACUUUUUUGUUGUUUACAGAAUCAUAAUUAAUGUUAAUUAAAGUGGAAUAUUUCAGAUUUCUGAUGAUGAGCAUAUUCUUGAGUAUUGCAGUAAAAAAAUGGGUGGGGAACUUAUUUGAACUUUGAAUGUAUGUUUUGUUGGUGAGAAUAUAAAGUUGAUAAAGAUUUGGUAAAUAGAAUAAAAUAUUAUUUUUUAUUAGAAAAAUUAUUUGGUAGACUGCCAAUCGAGUUAUAAUUAUCAUGACGCAAUAUUAAGGGUAAGUAAAACAUGUCAUAUUACAAAUAAUAAAAUUAUAAUGACUCAAAUAUACGAACAUGUCAAAAUUUAUGUACAACGAAUUAUUAACAUGUCAAUGUAUAAUAUGGUACGCAAAAAUAAGAUAAUUGCUUGUUUUUUAAUUGAAUUGUUAUAACACAUUAUACAAAUACAUUGUGAAUUAAAGCAUAAUAUGAACAUGAUAUCAAUAUAUUAAAUUUUUUAAAAAUUCGAUGAUACGAAUAAUUAUGUAAAAUAUCACAUGAUACAAAAUGACUUGAGAGGAAAAGAGGAACAAAGACUUGCAUUGUUUGUGAGGUUUUAAAAUAUUCCAGUUUUAGAUUCAAUUUUUUAGUAUGUUUGGUUUAAUUUUACAUUAGAUUUCCUUUUCGGUAUGCAUUAGUGAACUCUUGGCAGUCAAUUUAAUUUAAUUCAAAGAGAUAUUGCAUAUACAUAAUAAAUUUCGUAGAAGAAAAAAGAAAUAGAUGGUUGGAAAUGAUAAAACCAUAAGAUAAAAGAGCCUUUAUUCAAAAUGCAAAAAUCAACAAAAUAUUCAUUAUCGCUCAACUUAGCAUAAUUAAACAUUUAGGUGUGGAAAUCAAAUCACAAUUUGAGUAGCUAAACACAUUGCUUGAAAAUGUGAUAAGUAAGAAAAUUGCCCACAUUUGAGUAGCGACAGGUGGUAAUGCAUUUCCCAACAAGAGAAAACCAAGCUCUUCGCCAGUGUGGAUUUAUGUAGAGGACAACAAAAAUUGUCAACAACACAACUACAUAAGAAACCAAAAAGCUCACACAAAAAUCAUAAGUAUCUAUCAAACCAUCUUCUCCUUUAUCUUCUGAUACAGUUGAUAUCGUUGAUGGUGAAUCGGUUUUGGAACAACUUUUAUGCAAUAUAACUCCACAAAGAAACGGAUUUCCCUGAUAACUAUUUUCAAUAAAGGUCCCAAAUUGAGCUUUUGGUUCGGGAAUACUACCUGACAAGUUGUUAAAUGCCACGCUGAAAACCUCCAAAAAGUUUAACUCUACCAAUUGAUUGGGAUUUCACCACUUAAGUUGUUGUAAGAAAGGUCCAAACUCUCAAUUUGAUGUAGUUUUGAGAGUGACGAGGGUAUAACUCCGGUCAACUUAUUGUGUGAAAGGUUUAAAGAAUGGAUUUCACUCAAGUUCCCUAAUUCUGGUGGGAUAUGACCAGUUAAGUUGUUGCGAGAUAAAUCAAUCCCAGUCAUAUAUGAAAGGAUGUCGCCCUUGUAUGAAUAGAACCCACUCUUUGUUGUGAACUCUAUUACUUCUUCGAAGUAGCUACCAGGAUAGUAAGAAUCCAUUCCCAAAUUUAGUAUAUACUGCGUGUUGUUUCAUCCUCUUCCUAUAGAUGGCCCAUAGAACCCAGUUUCUAGAAAUCUUCUUCGUUUGCAUUGGAAGAGAUAAAUUUCCCAAACAAGAAGGUAUAGGACCAGAAAACAUAUUUUGAGAAAGAUCUAUGAUGCUUAAAGAAUGCAACUUGCAUAACUCAAUAGGAACUUUACCAUGAAAUGAUUAUCUUUCAAGAGAAGAACACUCAAAGAAGAAAGCGUGUAAAUCCAUUUUGGAAUACUACCUGUUCAAAUUGUUUCCUCUAAGAUCUAAAGUCACUAUUGAAGAGCUAUUAUAAAAAGCAAGUGAUAGUGGGCCUCUCAGUCUAUUCCCGUGGAGGUGGACAUGCUCUAUGUAUGGUGGAUUAAAACAUGACGGUAUAGAGCCAGAUAAAUUAUUUGAGAAAGAUCCAAAAAUUCCAAGCUAUUCAACUUGCAAAAUUCCAUUGGAAUAGAACCCUCAAAACUAUUGUUGGACAUAGCUAAUCUCCCCAAAAACGAUGCAUUCCCUAUCCAUCUUGGGAGCUUUCCAUGCAACUUGUUGUUACUGAGAUCAAUUUCCUGUAGUGAAUUUGGAAACUCAAAAGUAGACACAUCAACAUUUGUCAUCUCUCCUGAAAAAUUAUUUCCAUCCAAAUAUAAAUGCUGCACCCAAUUUGCGCUGAGAAUCACAGGAACUACAUUUCCACUGAGGUUGUUAUUUGAUAGUCUCAAAAUGGUCAGUGAGCCUUUCGCGAUCAACUCUUCUGGUACUUUUCCAUACAAUUGAUUGUUUGAUAGAUCUAAAGUGAUAAGUCCUUCAUGCCACUUAAACAAAGUGGGAUAUACCUUCAAAAGCAUUCUUGGAUAAGAAUAACCGCCUCAAAUGUGGAAAAGUUGAACAUAUACCAGUCGGAAUUUGACCUUGUAAUUUGUUU